Molecule: non-coding RNA, 952 nt
Filed under: Diretmoides veriginae
Lineage: Eukaryota; Metazoa; Chordata; Actinopteri; Trachichthyiformes; Diretmidae
Description: 12S rRNA
Rfam family: Bacterial small subunit ribosomal RNA
Source: RNAcentral
CAAAGGAUUAGUCCUAACUUUAGUAUCACCUUUUACUGGAUUUACACAUGCAAGUCUCCGCACCCCCGUGAGAAUGCCCUUGAGUCCUAAAACUAGGGACAAGGAGCAGGUAUCAGGCACACCCCGGUAGCCCAUGACGCCUUGUUUAGCCACACCCCCAAGGGAACUCAGCAGUGAUAGACAUUAAGCCAUAAGUGAAAACUUGACUUAGUUACAGUAAUUCUAGGGCCGGUAAAACUCGUGCCAGCCACCGCGGUUAGACGAGAGGCUCAAGCUGAUGAAUCACGGCGUAAAGAGUGGUUAAGGAAUCCCCAGAACUAAAGCCAAACGCCCCCCAAGCCGUUGUACGCUCCCGGGGGUAGGAAGCCCCACCACGAAAGUGGCUUUAAUCCCCCUGACUCCACGAAAGCUACGGCACAAACUGGGAUUAGAUACCUCACUAUGCCUAGCCCUAAACAAUGACAGCGUCACACGUACCGCUGUCCGCCCGGGUACUACGAGCACUAGCUUAAAACCCAAAGGACUUGGCGGUGCUUCAUACCCACCUAGAGGAGCCUGUUCUAGAACCGAUAAUCCCCGUUCAACCUCACCCUCUCUUGUCCCAUUCCGCCUAUAUACCACCGUCGUCAGCUUACCCUCUGAGGGUCUUAUAGUAAGCAAGACUGGCAUAACCCCAAACGUCAGGUCGAGGUGUAGCGCAUGAGAGGGGAAGAAAUGGGCUACAUUCUCUAUCACAGAGAACACGGACGGUACAAUGAAAUAAAUACCUUGAAGGAGGAUUUAGCAGUAAGUAUAAAGUAGAACAUUUUACUGAAGCUGGCCCUGAAGCGUGCACACAUCGCCCGUCACUCUCUCCGAGCCGACACUACUAAUUAACUAAAACCCCAAUGCAGGACACAGGAGAGGCAAGUCGUAACACAGUAAGUGUACCGGAAGGUGCACUUGGAAUAAG